RNAcentral lists this ribosomal RNA (208 nucleotides) under uncultured bacterium. Its description in RNAcentral is "partial 16S ribosomal RNA". It matches the Rfam family "Bacterial small subunit ribosomal RNA", at positions 568 to 774 of the family's 1533-position model. The record is from RNAcentral.
CGCGUAGGCGGCCUAAUAAGUUAGAUGUGAAAUCUCAGAGCUCAACUCUGAAACUGCAUUUAAUACUGUUAGGUUAGAGUACAAAAGAGGAAGAUGGAAUUCUCGGUGUAAGAGUGAAAUCUGCAGAUAUCGAGAGGAACACCAGUAGCGAAAGCGAUCUUCUGGGUUGAUACUGACGCUGAGUGCGCGAAAGCUAGGGGAGCGAACG